Molecule: ribosomal RNA, 119 nt
Filed under: Pteropus alecto (black flying fox)
Lineage: Eukaryota; Metazoa; Chordata; Mammalia; Chiroptera; Pteropodidae
Source: RNAcentral
UACUACGGCCAUGCCACCCUGAACAAGCCCAAUGCCGUCUGAUCUUGGAAGCUAAGCAGGGUCAGGCUUGGUUAGUACUUGGAUGGGAGACCACCUAGGAAGACCAGGUGCUAUAGACG